This 332-nucleotide unclassified non-coding RNA is filed under the name soil metagenome. RNAcentral describes it as "partial contains 5.8S ribosomal RNA, internal transcribed spacer 2, and large subunit ribosomal RNA". The stretch from base 1 to 120 matches the Rfam family "5.8S ribosomal RNA", at positions 35 to 154 of the family's 154-position model. The record is from RNAcentral.
GAUGAAGAACGCAGCAAAAUGCGAUAAGUAAUGUGAAUUGCAGAAUUCAGUGAAUCAUCGAAUCUUUGAACGCACAUUGCGCCCGCCAGUAUUCUGGCGGGCAUGCCUGUUCGAGCGUCAUUUCAACCCUCAAGCACAGCUUGGUGUUGGGACUCGCGUUAAUUCGCGUUCCUCAAAUUGAUUGGCGGUCACGUCGAGCUUCCAUAGCGUAGUAGUAAAACCCUCGUUACUGGUAAUCGUCGCGGCCACGCCGUUAAACCCCAACUUCUGAAUGUUGACCUCGGAACAGGUAGGAAUACCCGCUGAACUUAAGCAUAUCAAUAAGCGGAGGA